RNAcentral lists this long non-coding RNA (270 nucleotides) under Homo sapiens (human). The record is from RNAcentral. Lineage: Eukaryota; Metazoa; Chordata; Mammalia; Primates; Hominidae.
GGUGGAAUAGGAAGACGAAGGCUGGAGUUGGAUAAUGAUCCUUCUAUUAUGAGCUUUGACAAUUCUGGGACAUGGACUCUCGGUACAGAUUGCCCAAGACAUCUCACAUGACCAAGCAAUGGGACAUGUCUCUUCUUACCUCAUGAAACACCCUGCCGCACCCCGCCCCCUUCUGCCACCACCAAGUGAUCAUCCAGCUGACACUUGAGGAACUUUGAUGAUGAGGAGUUCAUCAGUCAUUGGUCAGACUAUUAAAUCUUUCCACAGCUU